RNAcentral lists this ribosomal RNA (465 nucleotides) under uncultured bacterium. RNAcentral's name for it is "partial 16S ribosomal RNA". It matches the Rfam family "Bacterial small subunit ribosomal RNA", at positions 28 to 507 of the family's 1533-position model. The record is from RNAcentral.
GACGAACGCUGGCGGCGUGCUUAACACAUGCAAGUCGAACGGAAAGGCCCCUUUGGGGGUUCUCGAGUGGCGAACGGGUGAGUAACACGUGAGUAACCUGCCCUUGACUUCGGGAUAACUUCAGGAAACUGGGGCUAAUACCGGAUAGGUAUCAUUGCUGCAUGGUGGGUGUUGCAAAGCUUCGGCGGUUUUGGAUGGACUGGGGGCUUACCAGCUUGAUGGUGGAGUAGUGGUUUACCAAGGCUGUGACGGGUAGCCGGCCUGGGAGGGCGACCGGCCACAAUGGGACUGAGAGACGGCCCAGACGGCAACGGGAGGCAGCAGUGGGGAAUAUUGCAGAAUGGGCGGAAGCCUGAUGCAGAAACGCCGCGUGCGGGAUGACGGCCUUCGGGUUGAAAACCGCUUUCAGCAGGGGCGAAGCUUGUGGUGACGGUACCUGCAGAAGAAGCACCGGCUAACUACGUG